RNAcentral lists this unclassified non-coding RNA (432 nucleotides) under soil metagenome. RNAcentral's name for it is "partial contains 5.8S ribosomal RNA, internal transcribed spacer 2, and large subunit ribosomal RNA". The stretch from base 1 to 120 matches the Rfam family "5.8S ribosomal RNA", at positions 35 to 154 of the family's 154-position model. The record is from RNAcentral.
GAUGAAGAACGCAGCGAAAUGCGAUACGUAAUGUGAAUUGCAGAAUUCAGUGAAUCAUCGAAUCUUUGAACGCAUAUUGCGCUCUCUGGUAUUCCGGAGAGCAUGCUUGUUUGAGUAUCAGUAAACACCUCAACUUCCAUAUCUUUUUUGAAAUGGGAGUUGGACUUGAGUGAUCCCAACGCUUUUCCUCACCGAAAAGUGGCGGGUUACUUGAAAUGCAGGUGCAGCUGGACUUUUCUCUGAGCUAUAAGCAUAUCUAUUUAGUCUGCCUAAAAAACAGAUUAUUACCUUUGCUGCAGCUAACAUAAAGGAGAUUAGUUCUUGUGCUGACUGAUGCAGGAUUCACAAAGACGGCUUCGGCCGACUUUGUAAACUCGAUCUCAAAUCAAGUAAGACUACCCGCUGAAAUUAAGCAUAUCAAUAAGCGGAGGA